UACGUAGGGUGCGAGCGUUACUCGGAAUUACUGGGCGUAAAGCGUGCGCAGGCGGUUUUGUAAGCCAGAUGUGAAAGCCCCGGGCUUAACCUGGGAAUGGCAUUUGGGACUGCAAGGCUUGAGUGCGGCAGAGGAGACUGGAAUUCCUGGUGUAGCAGUGAAAUGCGUAGAUAUCUGCAGGAACACCCGUGGCGAAGGCGGCUGACUGGAUCGCAACUGACACUGAGGAACGAAAGCUAGGGGAGCAAACAGG
RNAcentral lists this ribosomal RNA (253 nucleotides) under uncultured bacterium. RNAcentral's name for it is "partial 16S ribosomal RNA". It matches the Rfam family "Bacterial small subunit ribosomal RNA", at positions 524 to 776 of the family's 1533-position model. The record is from RNAcentral.